Molecule: ribosomal RNA, 493 nt
Filed under: uncultured bacterium
Lineage: Bacteria
Description: partial 16S ribosomal RNA
Rfam family: Bacterial small subunit ribosomal RNA
Source: RNAcentral
GACGAACGCUGGCGGCGCGCUUAACACAUGCAAGUCGAACGGAAAGGCCUGCUUUCCCUUGUGGAUUGCGGGUACUCGAGUGGCGAACGGGUGAGUAACACGUGAGUGAUCUGCCCCCAACUUGGGUAUAAGCCUGGGAAACUGGGUCUAAUUCCCGAUAGGACUGCAGGGUGGUGCCUGUGGUGGAAAACGAUUUUCUAGUGGUUGGGGAUGAGCUCGCGGCCUAUCAGCUUGUUGGUGGGGUAAUGGCCUACCAAGGCGGCGACGGGUAGCCGGCCUGAGAGGGUGGACGGCCACAUUGGGACUGAGAUACGGCCCAGACUCCUACGGGAGGCAGCAGUGGGGAAUAGUGCACAAUGGGCGGAAGCCUGAUGCAGCGACGCCGCGUGGGGGAUGACGGCCUUCGGGUUGUAAACUCCUUUCGACCGCGAGGAAGCCACCUGGUGGGAAGGGUGGUGACGGUAGUGGUAGAAGAAGCACCGGCUAACUACGU